AUGCAAGUCUUUCCGAAUCUAUGGGAGCUUGCUCCCACUGGUUAGCGGCGGACGGGUGAGUAACACGUGGGCAACCUGCCUGUAAGACUGGGAUAACUUCGGGAAACCGGAGCUAAUACCGGAUAAUCUUUUUCAACUCAUGUUGGAAAACUGAAAGUCGGUUUCGGCUGACACUCACAGAUGGGCCCGCGGCGCAUUAGCUAGUUGGUGAGGUAACGGCUCACCAAGGCGACGAUGCGUAGCCGACCUGAGAGGGUGAUCGGCCACACUGGGACUGAGACACGGCCCAGACUCCUACGGGAGGCAGCAGUAGGGAAUCUUCCACAAUGGACGAAAGUCUGAUGGAGCAACGCCGCGUGAGCGAUGAAGGCCUUCGGGUCGUAAAGCUCUGUUGUUAGGGAAGAACAAGUAUCGGAGUAACUGCCGGUACCUUGACGGUACCUAACCAGAAAGCCACGGCUAACUACGUGCCAGCAGCCGCGGUUAUACGUAGGUGGCAAGCGUUGUCCGGAAUUAUUGGGCGUAAAGCGCGCGCAGGCGGUCCUUU
Molecule: ribosomal RNA, 547 nt
Filed under: uncultured bacterium
Lineage: Bacteria
Description: bacterial SSU rRNA
Rfam family: Bacterial small subunit ribosomal RNA
Source: RNAcentral